AUGGUGGAGUUCAAGAACCUGCGAGGAGGAGGCAGGGCACCAAGUAGGAUCGCAACCCUGGACUUGAGGAGAGCAAACUUUGGCCUCUUCAGGGACCUACUUGGAGGAAUUGCAUGGGUUAGGGCCCUAGAAGGAAGGGGCGUUCAAGAGAGCUGGUUAAUACUCAAACAUCACUUCCUCCAGGCUCAAGAUCGGAGCAUCCCUAUGAGUAAGAAGUCAAGCAAAGGAGGUAGGAGACCUGCAUGGAUGAGCAAGGAGCUCCUGGCAAAACUCAACCAGAAAAAGGAAGUACAGAGAAUGUGGAAAGGGGGACAGGCCACUUGGGAGGAAUAUGGGAACGUUGUCAGAGUAUGCAGGGAUGCGACGAGGAAGGCUAAGGCCCAUUUGGAAUUAAAUCUGGCAAGAGAUUUCAAGGACAACAAGAAGGGCUUCUUCAAAUGCAUCAGUAGCAAAAGGAAGACUAGGGAAAAUGUGGGCCCAUUGCUGAAUGGGGUGGGUGCCCUGGUGAUAAAGGAUGCAGAGAAGGCAGAGUUACUGAAUGCUGCCUUUGCUUCGGUCUUUACUGCUCAGGCCAGCCCUCAGGAAUCCCAGACCCUGGAGACAAGAGAGAAAGUCUGGAGAAAGGAAGACUUUCCCUUGGUCGAGGAGGAGUGGGUUAGAGAUCAUUUAAGCAAACUUGACACCCACAAAUCCAUGGGCCCUGAUGGGAUGCACCCACGAGUGCUGAGGGAGCUGGUGGAUGUUAUUGCUAGGCCACUCUCCAUCAUCUUUGAAAGGUCAUGGAGAACAGGAGAGGUGCCUGAAGACUGGAAGAAAGCCAAUGUCACCCCAGUCUUCACAAAGGGCAAGAAGGAGGACCCAGGAAACUACAGGCCAGUCAGCCUCAGCUCCAUCCCUGCAAAGGUGAUGGAGCAGCUCAUGCUGGAAGCCAUCUCCAAGCAUGUGGAGGACAAGAAGGUGAUCAGGAGUAGUCAGCAUGGCUUCACCAAGGUGAAAUCAUGCUUAACCAACCUGAUAGCCUUCUCUGAUGGAAUGACUGGCUGGGUGGAUGAGGGGAGAGCAGUGGGUGUUGUCUCCCUUGACUUCAGCAAGGCUUUUGACACUGUCUCCCAUAACAUCCUCAUAGGUAAGCUCAGGAAGUGUGGGUUAGAUGAGUGGGCAGUGAGGUGGCUUGAGAACUGGCUGUAUGGCAGAGCUCAGAGGGUUGUGAUCAGUGGCACAGAGUCUAGUUGGAGGCCUGUAGCUAGCAGUGUCCCCAGGGGUCAGUACUGGGUCCAGCAUUGUUCACCUUCUUUAUCAAUGACUUGGAUGAAGGGACAAGUUUGCUGA
Molecule: long non-coding RNA, 1329 nt
Filed under: Apteryx haastii (Great spotted kiwi)
Lineage: Eukaryota; Metazoa; Chordata; Aves; Apterygiformes; Apterygidae
Description: lncRNA (ENSAHAG00000011072.1)
Source: RNAcentral